CCCUGUCUGGAAGAAGCUCUGGAUUGCUUCAAAGAAGUUGGAUUGCUACCAUUCGUCACUGACCAAGAGCAUUGGAAUGAAGAGUUGCUGCUCCAAUUCUAUGCCACACUUCACAUCCGCGGGUAUAACAGAGAUACAAAGACUUGGGUCCUGGAGUGGAUGACAGGAAACGUUCAUCACGAAGCCAAAGCCUUUGACAUCAUUGAGCUCACUAGUCUGCCCACUCCCGGAGAUCUCUACGAAUCUGGCUGUCAACUUCACAGUGAAGCUGUGGAGAGCAUCUUUCAGAAGCCUGAACCUAACAUGAGUCAGAUGCUCAGUAUGAUGAAGCCAUUACCCCAAGAUGCUGCAUAUCCCAAAGAGUUCUUUGUUGAAGACCUAGAGUAUCUGCCAAGGACUAUUUAUCACAUCAUAAGGUGA
RNAcentral lists this ribosomal RNA (420 nucleotides) under Triticum aestivum (bread wheat). RNAcentral's name for it is "partial small subunit ribosomal RNA". The record is from RNAcentral. Lineage: Eukaryota; Viridiplantae; Streptophyta; Magnoliopsida; Poales; Poaceae.